This 484-nucleotide ribosomal RNA is filed under the name uncultured bacterium. RNAcentral describes it as "partial 16S ribosomal RNA". It matches the Rfam family "Bacterial small subunit ribosomal RNA", at positions 29 to 526 of the family's 1533-position model. The record is from RNAcentral.
AGUGAACGCUGGCGGCGUGCUUAACACAUGCAAGUCGAACGAGAACGGAUUAUAGCUUGCUAUAAUUGUCAGCUAAGUGGCGCACGGGUGAGUAAUGUAUAGGUAAUAUGCCUCUUACUAAGGGAUAACAAAUGGAAACGCUUGCUAAUACCUUAUACUCCUUAUUAACAAAAGUUAAUAAGGGAAAGAUUUAUUGGUAAGAGAUUAGCCUGUAUUGUAUCAGUUAGUUGGUGGGGUAAUGGCUUACCAAGACUAUGACACAUAACUGGUUUGAGAGGAUGAUCAGUCACACUGGAACUGAGACACGGUCCAGACUCCUACGGGAGGCAGCAGUGGGGAAUAUUGCACAAUGGACGAAAGUCUGAUGCAGCAACGCCGCGUGGAGGAUGACACAUUUCGGUGCGUAAACUCCUUUUAUAUGAGAAGAUAAUGACGGUAUUAUAUGAAUAAGCACCGGCUAACUCCGUGCCAGCCGCCGUAAUAC